This is a long non-coding RNA of Oncorhynchus keta (chum salmon), 337 nucleotides long. RefSeq lists it as uncharacterized. The record is from RefSeq and is a predicted model, not a curated record. Lineage: Eukaryota; Metazoa; Chordata; Actinopteri; Salmoniformes; Salmonidae. The transcript is spliced from 3 exons.
AAAAACCCAAAACCAGCAGACCCCAGGCUCUCCAGGAGUUUGACACCCCUGCUCUAAAUCUUCCUGUGGAACAGAGAGAUUGCACCACACAUCCAGAGCCCUCACCUCCUCCCUGUAGGCUGUCUCGUCAUCGUUGAUGGGAUAGGGCACUGUGCAGAGUGAUGGAGAUUGCAUCGUCUGUGGAUCUAUUGGGGCGGAGAGGAGGACCCGGGAGAGAACAGAGGGAUUGCGGCAAGACUCAUCUCUUCUGUAACGCCAUCAUCAAAUCUGAUUAGCACUUCAAAACUACUCCUGUAGUACACUAUAGAGACUCAUUUGUUAAAACGAAGGGAAGUGA